GAGAGCCGGAUGCGGCGACGAGUCGCACGUCCGGUUCGGAGGGCGGGCACGGGAAACGGACCAGCAGAAACGCUGGAACCGCGCCCGUGUCCGACCCUAC
This 100-nucleotide non-coding RNA is filed under the name Amycolatopsis tolypomycina. The record is from RNAcentral. Lineage: Bacteria; Bacillati; Actinomycetota; Actinomycetes; Pseudonocardiales; Pseudonocardiaceae.